UACGGAGGGGGCUAGCGUUGUUCGGAAUUACUGGGCGUAAAGCGCGCGUAGGCGGAUCAGCAAGUUAGGGGUGAAAUCCCGGGGCUCAACCCCGGAACUGCCCUUAAAACUGUUGGUCUAGAGUUCGAGAGAGGUGAGUGGAAUUCCGAGUGUAGAGGUGAAAUUCGUAGAUAUUCGGAGGAACACCAGUGGCGAAGGCGGCUCACUGGCUCGAUACUGACGCUGAGGUGCGAAAGCGUGGGGAGCAAACAGG
This 253-nucleotide ribosomal RNA is filed under the name uncultured bacterium. RNAcentral's name for it is "partial 16S ribosomal RNA". It matches the Rfam family "Bacterial small subunit ribosomal RNA", at positions 524 to 776 of the family's 1533-position model. The record is from RNAcentral.